GCGGGGAGCAAACAGGAUUAGAUACCCUGGUAGUCCACGCAGUAAACGAUGAGUGCUAGUUGUCGCAAUUUAGUUGCGGUGGCGAAGCUAACGCGUUAAGCACUCCGCCUGGGGAGUACGGUCGCAAGACUAAAACUCAAAGGAAUUGACGGGGACCCGCACAAGCAGUGGAGCAUGUGGUUUAAUUCGAUGGUACGCGAAAAACCUUACCAACCCUUGAAUCUCGAUAGCAGGCUAAGAAAUUAGCUCUCGGUUUGGCCGGGUCGAAGACAGGUGCUGCAUGGCUGUCGUCAGCUCGUGUCGUGAGAUGUUAGGUUAAGUCCUUAAACGAGCGCAACCCUCAUCCUUAUUUGCCAUCGGGUUAUGCCGGGAACUAUAAGGAAACUGCCAGCGACAAGCUGGAGGAAGGUGGGGACGAUGUCAAGUCAUCAUGGCCCUUAUGGGUUGGGCUACACACAUGCUACAAUGGUGGUUACAACAAGACGCAAUGGAGCAAUCCGGAGCAAAUCUCUAAAAGCCAUCUCAGUUCAGAUUGAGGGCUGCAACUCGCCCUCAUGAAGUUGGAAUUGCUAGUAAUCGCGGAUCAGCACGCCGCGGUGAAUACGUUCUCGGGUCUUGUACACACUGCCCGUCAAGCCAUGGAAGCUGUUUCUACCUUAAUAGAGUGAGCUAACCGCAAGGAGGUAGCUCUACACGGUAGGAGGGGUGACUGGGGUU
RNAcentral lists this ribosomal RNA (717 nucleotides) under uncultured bacterium. Its description in RNAcentral is "bacterial SSU rRNA". It matches the Rfam family "Bacterial small subunit ribosomal RNA", at positions 761 to 1482 of the family's 1533-position model. The record is from RNAcentral.